RNAcentral lists this transfer RNA (74 nucleotides) under Chromatocurvus halotolerans. It matches the Rfam family "tRNA". Rfam says of the family: Transfer RNA (tRNA) molecules are approximately 80 nucleotides in length. Their secondary structure includes four short double-helical elements and three loops (D, anti-codon, and T loops). Further hydrogen bonds mediate the characteristic L-shaped molecular structure. tRNAs have two regions of fundamental functional importance: the anti-codon, which is responsible for specific mRNA codon recognition, and the 3' end, to which the tRNAs corresponding amino acid is attached (by aminoacyl-tRNA synthetases). tRNAs cope with the degeneracy of the genetic code in two manners: having more than one tRNA (with a specific anti-codon) for a particular amino acid; and 'wobble' base-pairing, i.e. permitting non-standard base-pairing at the 3rd anti-codon position. The record is from Rfam by way of RNAcentral. Lineage: Bacteria; Pseudomonadati; Pseudomonadota; Gammaproteobacteria; Cellvibrionales; Halieaceae.
GGGCCCAUAGCUCAGUUGGUCAGAGCAGUCGACUCAUAAUCGAUUGGUCGUAGGUUCAAGUCCUACUGGGCCCA